Long non-coding RNA from Hypomesus transpacificus, 668 nucleotides. RefSeq lists it as uncharacterized. The record is from RefSeq and is a predicted model, not a curated record. The transcript has 6 exons. NCBI's taxonomy places the organism in Eukaryota, Metazoa, Chordata, Actinopteri, Osmeriformes, Osmeridae.
GUCAGGCUUGUAUUUAUUCAGAUUGAUGGACGCACGACGCUGUGAUGACAGUGACGUCAUAGGGCAGUCCGUGUGCAUCUAUCCCAUCAGCCAUGGCGGCAAUUGGCUAUAUAAACGUGCGCGCCGCGUUUACAACUUCUCAAUCUGCGGUCAACCAGGAGUGAAGAGGCAUGACAAUGUUGAGUUAUAUUAAAAUGUUCAAAUCAGCGAAACCCAAGUCUUACCAAUUUACAGAGCCAGACAUUGAAGAUCAUAUUGGAACAUGACGCAUUUAAGGUGAACUUGUGAAUUACAAUGGCUGUAUGAAGAUGUCAACCAUACUUGUUCUUUAAAGGGAACUGUAGACCCACAGCAUAGAGUGCCUGGAUGAGCUGAUGCACUACUUCAGUACAACUCCAAGGCAAUGCCAACUGGAUUUAGGACGGGACACUCGGGCUGUUCAAGUCAGGAGAAGACAUGCGCGUCAACGUUUGAAACGUCUGCACUUUGACCGUUCAUGUCGAGUUGAAGCACAAGUACCCAUUAAUUGUUGAGCUGAUUUGGUAUGGAGAGAUCUCAUCAUGUAAAGGCUACUGCAAAUUGAGCUGAAAUGUCAGCUAGGUUCAAAUUGGCUUGGUGUGGUUAUGCAUUGUAACUUGUAAAUUCUGCAAUAAACAAGUUAACUGCAA